RNAcentral lists this transfer RNA (72 nucleotides) under Bos taurus (domestic cattle). It matches the Rfam family "tRNA". From Rfam's summary of the family: Transfer RNA (tRNA) molecules are approximately 80 nucleotides in length. Their secondary structure includes four short double-helical elements and three loops (D, anti-codon, and T loops). The record is from Rfam by way of RNAcentral. RNAcentral also lists the same sequence under 5 other names. Lineage: Eukaryota; Metazoa; Chordata; Mammalia; Artiodactyla; Bovidae.
UCCCUGGUGGCUCAGUCAGUAAAGAGUCUGCCUGCAAUGCAGGAGACCUGGGUUCAAUCCCUGGGUUGGGAA